RNAcentral lists this unclassified non-coding RNA (309 nucleotides) under plant metagenome. RNAcentral's name for it is "partial contains 5.8S ribosomal RNA, internal transcribed spacer 2, and large subunit ribosomal RNA". The stretch from base 1 to 105 matches the Rfam family "5.8S ribosomal RNA", at positions 50 to 154 of the family's 154-position model. The record is from RNAcentral.
GAAAUGCGAUAAGUAGUGUGAAUUGCAGAAUUCAGUGAAUCAUCGAAUCUUUAAACGCACAUUGCGCCCCUUGGUAUUCCAUGGGGCAUGCCUGUUCGAGCGUCAUUUGUACCCUCAAGCUCUGCUUGGUGUUGGGUGUUUGUCCCGUCUCCGCGCGUGGACUCGCCCCAAAGUGAUUGGCAGCCGGCGUACUGGUCCCGGAGCGCAGCACAUGUCGCGCAAACGAGUGCCUUGGUACGGCGGCGUCCAUAAGCCCCUCUCUCACGCUCUUGACCUCGGAUCAGGUAGGGAUACCCGCUGAACUUAAGC